This 946-nucleotide ribosomal RNA is filed under the name Briansuttonomyces eucalypti. RNAcentral describes it as "eukaryotic LSU rRNA". It matches the Rfam family "Eukaryotic large subunit ribosomal RNA", at positions 1 to 963 of the family's 3401-position model. Lineage: Eukaryota; Fungi; Ascomycota; Dothideomycetes; Pleosporales; Didymellaceae. The record is from RNAcentral.
CUUGACCUCGGAUCAGGUAGGGAUACCCGCUGAACUUAAGCAUAUCAAUAAGCGGAGGAAAAGAAACCAACAGGGAUUGCCCUAGUAACGGCGAGUGAAGCGGCAACAGCUCAAAUUUGAAAUCUGGCGUCUUCGGCGUCCGAGUUGUAAUUUGCAGAGGGCGCUUUGGCAUUGGCAGCGGUCCAAGUUCCUUGGAACAGGACGUCACAGAGGGUGAGAAUCCCGUACGUGGUCGCUAGCCUUUACCGUGUAAAGCCCCUUCGACGAGUCGAGUUGUUUGGGAAUGCAGCUCUAAAUGGGAGGUAAAUUUCUUCUAAAGCUAAAUACUGGCCAGAGACCGAUAGCGCACAAGUAGAGUGAUCGAAAGAUGAAAAGCACUUUGGAAAGAGAGUUAAAAAGCACGUGAAAUUGUUGAAAGGGAAGCGCUUGCAGCCAGACUUGCCUGUAGUUGCUCAUCCGGGUUUUUACCCGGUGCACUCUUCUAUAGGCAGGCCAGCAUCAGUUUGGGCGGUUGGAUAAAGGUCUCUGUCAUGUACCUCUCUUCGGGGAGAACUUAUAGGGGAGACGACAUGCAACCAGCCUGGACUGAGGUCCGCGCAUCUGCUAGGAUGCUGGCGUAAUGGCUGUAAGCGGCCCGUCUUGAAACACGGACCAAGGAGUCUAACAUCUAUGCGAGUGUUUGGGUGUCAAGCCCGAGCGCGUAAUGAAAGUGAACGGAGGUGGGAACCUUUCGGGGUGCACCAUCGACCGAUCCUGAUGUCUUCGGAUGGAUUUGAGUAAGAGCAUAGCUGUUGGGACCCGAAAGAUGGUGAACUAUGCUUGAAUAGGGUGAAGCCAGAGGAAACUCUGGUGGAGGCUCGCAGCGGUUCUGACGUGCAAAUCGAUCGUCAAAUUUGGGCAUAGGGGCGAAAGACUAAUCGAACUAUCUAGUAGCUGGUUCCUGCCG